This 72-nucleotide transfer RNA is filed under the name Minous monodactylus (grey stingfish). RNAcentral describes it as "tRNA-Trp". It matches the Rfam family "tRNA". Rfam says of the family: Transfer RNA (tRNA) molecules are approximately 80 nucleotides in length. Their secondary structure includes four short double-helical elements and three loops (D, anti-codon, and T loops). The record is from RNAcentral. Lineage: Eukaryota; Metazoa; Chordata; Actinopteri; Perciformes; Synanceiidae.
AGAGACUUAGGCUAACUACUAGACCAAGGGCCUUCAAAGCCCUAAGCGGAAGUGAGAAUCUUUCAGUCCCUG